RNAcentral lists this long non-coding RNA (221 nucleotides) under Panax ginseng (ginseng). Its description in RNAcentral is "long non-coding RNA (PGIN_LNC018080)". Lineage: Eukaryota; Viridiplantae; Streptophyta; Magnoliopsida; Apiales; Araliaceae. The record is from RNAcentral.
CUCGUUACAAUUAUUGAUACACUAUUUUAAAAAAUAGUAAGGACUACUAAAACAACUAUCCUAAACGAUCACUCCAUACCCCGGCUAGUUCCUGCUAUGUUCUCACCUCCUGAGAAGAAAAAUGGAACAAAAAGGAAAAGGGUGAGCUCAACUGGCCCAGUAAAGAAUAUUAUGACUAAGAUAAUAUACAAGAAAUUAUCAUUAGUCUUCAAUAGGGAAAA